UGGGGAAUAUUGGACAAUGGGCGAAAGCCUGAUCCAGCCAUGCCGCGUGUGUGAAGAAGGUCUUCGGAUUGUAAAGCACUUUAAGUUGGGAGGAAGGGCAUUAACCUAAUACGUUAGUGUUUUGACGUUACCGACAGACUAAGCACCGGCUAACUCUGUGCCAGCAGCCGCGGUAAUACAGAGGGUGCAAGCGUUAAUCGGAAUUACAGGGCGUAAAGCGCGCGUAGGUGGUUUGUUAAGUUGGAUGUGAAAUCCCCGGGCUCAACCUGGGAACUGCAUUCAAAACUGACUGACUAGAGUAUGGUAGAGGGUGGUGGAAUUUCCUGUGUAGCGGUGAAAUGCGUAGAUAUAGGAAGGAACACCAGUGGCGAAGGCGACCACCUGGACUAAUACUGACACUGAGGUGCGAAAGCGUGGGGAGCAAACA
RNAcentral lists this ribosomal RNA (427 nucleotides) under uncultured bacterium. RNAcentral's name for it is "partial 16S ribosomal RNA". It matches the Rfam family "Bacterial small subunit ribosomal RNA", at positions 355 to 774 of the family's 1533-position model. The record is from RNAcentral.